This 898-nucleotide long non-coding RNA is filed under the name Pan troglodytes (chimpanzee). RNAcentral's name for it is "lncRNA (ENSPTRG00000054527.1)". The record is from RNAcentral. Lineage: Eukaryota; Metazoa; Chordata; Mammalia; Primates; Hominidae.
GGAGAACUAUAACUGGAGGACAGAAGGGCAUGAUCUAAUGGUAAUAAACUGGGAAAAUUUUAGCAAGGUCUAUUUUGUUCAAAUCCUUCUUAGUGUGUCUGUUUCUUCCAGGAUAAAGAUAUUCCCUUCCUCAGGGUACAGGGAGGGUACCUCUUAUGAACUACUUUACAGGAAGGUCAGAGAAUUCAUUUACGGCCUGCUUCAGGAGAGAAAGGCAAGAGGAAGGUCAGAGAGACUUUCCUACUACUGCUGUUUUCUCCAAUACUAAAGUACCAUAUUUUGGGAUUGCGUGUCCUGAACUCCUUCAACUAAUUGGUACAAGAACGAGGAAGCCUCCGUGAAAGCCAAGCUGGAAAAGAGAGCAUGGUAUAUUCUAAACCAGUGGCUGUACCUUCAUUAGCAUAACAUAAUAAAUAAGUUAUGUGCCUUGGAAUGAAGAAUGUGCUUGGAGAGGGUGAGAAAGGAAUAUCCCUUCCAUGGCUGACUUGUAAGGAAGUGAAAGAAUGCAACCAAACCAUUGUUAAAGUGGAUGUUGAUGGGAUUCUUGCAUUGAGGAGACUGGACCAGAUGAUCCCUAAGGUCCCUCCCAAUGAAUUUCUUAUGAAUUUCCAUAUCUCAUUCACACUACAUCCCACUGCCAGGUAUGCAAAAUGUGUGGAUCUACUAACGUUGCCUCAAUUUUAAAAGCUCACAAAAACCAAACUCUAGCAUUUUUUUCUUCCCAUUUUAAGAAUGUACCUUUCUUCUUCUGGGUGGUUCAUCAUGCCAGCCUCUAUGUUCCCAGGGCACCUUGUACUUGUCUCUCUCUCUCUUUCUCUCAGCCCUUAUCACACUGAAUGGUAAAGAGUCAUUCUUAAUCUGCCUUCUACCACCAAACUAGGAGCUCCCUAAAAGGCAG